UGACAGGAUGCCACCCACCACCCUGCAGACACUGAAGUACCCCUGACAGAUAUGCUUUCUAACCAAGGGUUUGGUGAGAGCCCCCAAGGAGCAGCAGGCUGGAGAGCCUGAGGAGGUCCAUCUACCCAGUACUCACUCUCUUGCCCCCACACUGGCACAACAUGGAAGAACACUCCAAGAACCUGCUUUCCAGGUCUGGAGCAAUCAGGGAGCAGGAGCCAGACUGCCACACCAGAAUGAACACAUGCCAAGGGUUGCCAGAGUCAGACUCCAGACUCCAUUGCUGGGCGUGUGCAAGGAUGGGCUCUGAGCCUGGCUCACCUUGGGUUUGCACUACCAAGCAAUGGCCCAUGUAGACCCUAGAGCAUCACAGCUCCUCCAGACUAUCUGACUCCACUUCCCCAGUACCAGGAUCACAGGCUGGCACCACCACUCCUGGCUCACACAGGAUGAUUUUGACGUGGCUAGUUUCUGAGAGCAGUGAGCCUGGGAGCUGUCCCCACCAUGCCCUCUUCCCUCUAAGAAGUAGUGAUUCUACAAUCCUGAGGCACACCUGAGAACUACCCUGAGGCUGCAGAGCAGCCAGUGGGGUGGAGAGACAGCUCAGCAGCAAGAAUGUUUGCUGCUCUUCCGGAGGACCUGAGUUUGGUUCCCAGCGCUGUAACAGGUGGAUGAAACCCACCCAUCACCUGCAGCUCCGGGAGAUCUGACGCCCUCUUCUGGUCUGU
Long non-coding RNA from Peromyscus californicus insignis, 728 nucleotides. RefSeq lists it as uncharacterized. The record is from RefSeq and is a predicted model, not a curated record. Lineage: Eukaryota; Metazoa; Chordata; Mammalia; Rodentia; Cricetidae. The transcript has 4 exons.